AGUUCCGGUCCGGCAGAGAUCGCGGAGAGACGCAGAACGCAGCCCGCUCCUCCAGGGCCCUCCAGGCCCUCCGGCCCCGGGCCGGCGGGUGAACUGGGGGGCCCCGGGACAGGCCGAGCCCUCUGCCCUGCAGAUAACGGAGGCCUCUGCUGUGGCUGCCCACUGGCUGUGCCCGCCCACUGGCUGUGCCCAGACCUUGAAGCCGCAGCGAACCUCUCUUUCCCACCCCACCUCGGUGACUAAUGGCGGCCGUGGCGUCUCCCAGCCCGGACCCCGCCGGCACCCGGGUCUCCCGACCCAAGCCUCGACGAAACCCCCGCAGAGCCGCCGGGACGCAGCGCCUUUGGGCGGCGCUGGGCGUGGUGGGCCGGGAAGUAUGGCGGCAGCUCGAACGCCGCGCGGCGGAGGCCAUUAAGGCGUGGACGGCCCGGGAAGGCGGCCUAGGGACGCAAGCAGGCUCGGCCGCCUCUUUAGGCCACGGAGCCGCGCAGAUCCGGUUCCCGGGUGACCACUCUGUCGCCAUUGGGCGAGACCUACCUAGUCCUGACGACAACGGACAAAGGCCUUAAGGGGCCUGGAAGGUGAGCGAAGUCCCGAACGACGACGGGUGGAACGGUUAGCGGCCAUCGGGCGGUUGGUCUUCAUUCUACCAGACUUUGCUGUCGGAAGAGAGAAAUGGUAGAAUGACAGGCCACGUUUGGCCCGUUGGAAAUGCCCACCACCCUCUGGGAAGAUUUACUGGCCGUUUAUGGAAGGCCUGUGUAUAUAAUAUGAAAAAGCUGCUCUCAACUCCACCCCAACCUUUUAAUAGAAAACAUUUGUCACAUCUAGCCCUUCUAGAUGGAAAGAGGUUGCCGACGUAUGAUAAAAUAGAGUUAGAAAGUUACACAUCUUGUAAAUUCUCAUUUGUUUAAAAGAAAUCAUAGAAAAUACAUGUCUUCUGGAGAUGACUUUUGGAAAUGGAGUUGUUAAGACGGCCUCUGGAAGCGAUACGUCCACGUUUGUUAAGUGGGUUAGAUGACAUGGAGCUGGAAGACCUGAGAAGGAAGAGAAGAAGGUUCUAUGCUAGACUGGUCAUAUUUAGAAGACAUUUUCAUAUUCUAUCCAUUGUUUUGUGUGCAUUUUAUUCCUCACUACUGUGUAUAUAGUUGACAAUGCUAAGCUUUUUUGAAAUGUCUCUUCUUUUUAGAUGUUCUGAAGUGCCUGAUAUGUUAAAAUUAGAGGUAGCAAAAUCACAUUUUGUAAAUACCUUUUUGUUACAAUUCAUAGGAAAUAUUUUUGGGGGGGAAUGGCCAAAUCACCUGUUGAGUAAUACUCAUUGUGUUUGUGCAGUGGUUCAGGGGAGGAGAGAGGAGGGGGAGGUGCAGAGAGCUCUAUGCCAUCCUGUUUACAGCGAGGCAAGAUGAAUCAUUAUGUCUGUGCAUUUUGUUUUACUUAUCUGUGUAUAUAGUGUACAUAAAGGACAGACGAGUCCUAAUUGACAACAUCUAGUCUUUCUGGAUGUUAAAGAGGUUGCCAGUGUAUGACAAAAGUAGAGUUAGUAAACUAAUAUAUUUUGUACAUUUUGUUUUACAAGUCCUAGGAAAGAUUGUCUUCUGAAAAUUUGAUGUCUUCUGGGUUGAUGGAGAUGGGAAGGGUUCUAGGCCAGAAUGUUCACAUUUGGAAGACUCUUUCAAAUUAUAACUGUUGUUACAUGUUUGCAGUUUAUUCAAGACUGCUGUAUACAUAGUAGACAAAUUAACUCCUUACUUGAAACAUCUAGUCUAUCUAGAUGUUUAGAAGUGCCCGAUGUAUGUUAAAUGUAUAGGUAGUAAAAUACCACUUUGUAAAUAUCUUUUUGCUAAAAUUCAUAGGAAAUGCUUUUGGAAAUUGAAUUGUGAAGCCACCUUUGUGAACAGUAUAGUAAUGUCUAUACUUGUUCAAUAGUUUAGAGGAGGUAGGAGGGAAGAAAUUGCAAAAGGUAAUAUUACUAGUGUGUUCAUACUUGGACAUUUUCAGACACCAUUUUUCUAUAUGUUUUGUGCAUUUUGUUUUGCUCUGUAUAUAGUAUAUAUAAUGGACAAAUAGUCCUAAUUUUUCAACAUCUAGUCUCUAGAUGUUAAAGAGGUUGCCAGUGUAUGACAAAGGAGUAAAAUUAGCAUAUUUUGUACACUUUGUGUUGAAAUUCGUAGGAAAACUUGUCUUCUGUAAAGACUUUUGCAUAGG
This 2205-nucleotide long non-coding RNA is filed under the name Homo sapiens (human). Its description in RNAcentral is "non-protein coding NORAD:5". Lineage: Eukaryota; Metazoa; Chordata; Mammalia; Primates; Hominidae. The record is from RNAcentral.